Molecule: long non-coding RNA, 478 nt
Organism: Daphnia pulicaria
Lineage: Eukaryota; Metazoa; Arthropoda; Branchiopoda; Diplostraca; Daphniidae
Exons: 2
Source: RefSeq, a predicted model, not a curated record
GGGUGCGCCAGUCGCACUGGCGGAAGAGUCUUCAGAAUGGCCAAUCACCCGCUCCGGAUGGGCCAGCAGCUGUUCCGUUUCGGCCAGAAGAAAAGCUGUUGUGUGUGGAUUGACGAGUCGAAAAAAAAACAACCGAACCAACUCCUCCCGAAAAAAAAAAGAAGCUGAUGUGGUGGACGCCGCCUCGUCAUCCGCGUCUACCGAUCCCGCAACCCGCGCGUCCCAGGACUUUCCGUCCCAAUUUGAGAAUUAAACCAAACAAAUUUUCUCGGAAAAGUGACGUCGGGAGAUUUUUGGUGAUGUUGAUCAAAUAAAAGAAGAAGAAGAAAAAAAAAAAAAGAAAAGAAACCACCUCUUUCAAUUAACCUUGUUAGCGCGAGUGUGUGAUUUAUAUUUAUUGUCGGGACAGUGGGGCAUUGUUGGGGCGGACCCAAAGUUCCUACCGCUCGCGGAGAAAUACAAAAACGAAAUUUUAUUU